RNAcentral lists this long non-coding RNA (639 nucleotides) under Ananas comosus (pineapple). RNAcentral describes it as "long non-coding RNA (ACOM_LNC005729)". Lineage: Eukaryota; Viridiplantae; Streptophyta; Magnoliopsida; Poales; Bromeliaceae. The record is from RNAcentral.
UAUUUCCUGCUUGUUUUAUCUUCUUUUUUUUUGUGGUUAAUUUUAUACAUUCCUUUCCUCCAACUUUAAAUCUAUACUAAUCUAUGAAUCCCCAAUAUCUUGCUGACAUGGCGUUACCUCCUUCUUUCAAAACUGCUCUCUUUCAUCUCCCAACCUCCAAAACCUCUCAUCUUCAAAACCGUUCCCUCAUUAUCUCCCAAUAAAACAACAAUUGAAUGCAUAUAAUUGCACCAAAACUAUUCCCUCUCAUCUCCCAACCUCCAAAACCCCUCAUCUUCCAAAACCGUUCCCUCCUCAUCUCCCAAUAAAACNUUUUAUGGAACAAUACUUCUAAAAAUAAAAAGGACAAACGAGUACUACAGAAAAUUAACUGAGAAUUAAAAUCUCUAUAUCCGAGUGAGGACACCUAUUGUAAAUCAACCACAUUAGCGAGUACACUAGAAUAGUAAAGUGUUCGAGCAUCAUAAGCAAUUAGUAUUGCUCUUUUUUAUCUUUAAGCCACUCUAAUUCAUUUUCUUUCACUUUUAUUUUAUUAUAAUAAAAUGUAGGAUAAAUUAUGGUAUGAUUUAUUUUAGAAUAAAAAAUAUAUAUAAAUUCAAAAUCAAGCAUGACCACUAACUUGAGGAUUAGUAGUCAAUU